RNAcentral lists this transfer RNA (82 nucleotides) under Brucella inopinata. RNAcentral describes it as "tRNA-Leu". It matches the Rfam family "tRNA". Rfam says of the family: Transfer RNA (tRNA) molecules are approximately 80 nucleotides in length. Their secondary structure includes four short double-helical elements and three loops (D, anti-codon, and T loops). Lineage: Bacteria; Pseudomonadati; Pseudomonadota; Alphaproteobacteria; Hyphomicrobiales; Brucellaceae. The record is from RNAcentral.
GCGGAUGUGGCGAAAUUGGUAGACGCACCAGAUUUAGGUUCUGGCGGGAGACCGUGGGGGUUCGAGUCCCUCCAUCCGCACC